AGAAACCACACACACAUGCGAAGCAGAAUUUCUUCAGUGUACUGAGUUGUGGUGACAUUAAAUGGGUUAUUCCCGCAUACCUGAUGCUUCAUAGCGUGUGUAUCAAACGUUAAAUUCUCAUAACAGAAAGAAGAGCUAGCAGUAGCAACUCAUUUUGACAUUUUCCUUUUCUGUUGUUCUCUGGUUACUGUGGAGGUAGUCUGACAGUUCAUCCACCUGCCUCAUCUGAAGCUUUCUUCGAUAGCUCGUUUUGUCUGUGGACACAUGCAGCACCAAGACUUGCCUUUUCAGGCACAAAGGUCACACUGAUGAAUUCCAGAAAUCUUUUGCCUCUUCAGUUAUUGAGCGAGUUACAAGGGUUAAAUGUAAUAUUGAAAAAAACAAUCGUCUAGUUUUUGUUUCCUCAAUCUACAUACACUGCUUCAACACACUUCCACCAGGCUGGUUCAACUCGUCCUCAAAAGCAUAUUUCUUAAGCUUCUAAAACAUACCAGAAUAUAAUAUUAAUCCUGCAAGGAAAAGGAACGCUGUGAUUUGUUUUUACAACCACAUUUGUAUAUGAGUGUGUAUGAGACCUCCUUCUGCACAUGCUCAGACUUGAGAGUCCUUGCAUACAAACCACAUCCUGAUUCACUCAAGAUAAAAGAUCUGCUGUAGGUUUGAGGAUUUUACCAAAUCAGCUCACCUGUUCAAACAGAUCACUUCAAACUCCUAGACAAACCAUGGAUUUUGAGAACAGCAUAGAAGGAUGUAAACACUGCAACAAGAAUUGCAAUAACAAUUGCCAAUGUCAUUGUCAUACAAUAACCCAAAGUCCUAAACCUAAGCAAAGGACUGAGGAGAAGACGUGUGAAGGGCCUUCAAAAGAGUGCGGCUCCUGUGAUUUCAUCCCCUGUGAUUGUGACUCCUGUGACUGCGGCUCCUGUGACUGCAGCUCCUGUGAUUAUGGCCCCUGUGAUUGUGACUCCUGUGACUGUGGCUCUUGUGACUGUGGCUCCUGUGAUUGCGACUCCUGUGAUGGUGGCGCCGGUGAUGGUGGCUCAUAUCAUUGCGGCUCCUGUCAUUGUGGCCCCUGUGAUUGUGGCCCUUGUGAUUGCGGCUCCUGUGAUUGUGGCUCCUGUGAUUGCGGCUCCUGUAUUAUUCAGUGAAUGUUUGCAGGAUGUUGGUCAGACAGGUCUGCACAGUGACAGCCACCCGCUACGGUAUAUUCAUGGCAAAUCUCUCUGCCUGCAUUUUCGUCUGGGACGAAGGAGAUGUGGCCCUGCUGAGGGAGGCGAAAAGGAGGGAGCUGGAGCAACAGCAGGGCAUCAGAGGCCACUGCUGCACACGUGAUGUGGAGGAGACAGAGCAGCCGAUCGGAUAGAUGCUGGAGGCUCUCAAGGACGCCAGGGAAACCAUGGGCAUCCCCUUGGUGGACCGGAC
Long non-coding RNA from Cyprinus carpio carpio, 1422 nucleotides. The record is from Ensembl. NCBI's taxonomy places the organism in Eukaryota, Metazoa, Chordata, Actinopteri, Cypriniformes, Cyprinidae.